RNAcentral lists this long non-coding RNA (334 nucleotides) under Nicotiana benthamiana. RNAcentral's name for it is "long non-coding RNA (NBEN_LNC020489)". Lineage: Eukaryota; Viridiplantae; Streptophyta; Magnoliopsida; Solanales; Solanaceae. The record is from RNAcentral.
CGCUUGCAAUGGUAAGUGAUAACAAGAGGCUGAUUGGUACUCCAUCAAUACAACCAUCUCGAACUAGCUCAUCCCCUCAAUGCAAUUAAAUUUAGUUUUUUCCAUCCACGAUACAUGUAUCAGUACCAGACAGACAGCUUGAAUGAGUAAGAUGGGUAAAAGGUGAUACCAAGAGGCUGAUUGGUCUAAAAAUACAUCCACCUCCAACCCAGCCCUCUUCCUCCGAUACAUGUAGCAGUACCAGACAGACAGCUUGAAUGGGUAAGAAGGGUAAAGGUGAUACCAAGAGGCUGAUUGGUCUAAAAAUACAUCCACCUCCAACCCAGCCCUCUUC